Cebus imitator (Panamanian white-faced capuchin) is the source of this 611-nucleotide long non-coding RNA. RefSeq lists it as uncharacterized. Lineage: Eukaryota; Metazoa; Chordata; Mammalia; Primates; Cebidae. The transcript has 2 exons. The record is from RefSeq and is a predicted model, not a curated record.
AAAAGAGGAAUAGUAUUUCCCUUCCUACUUCCACCCCUGGGGAGUGGUGAGGCUGCCACUCUGGUUGGGCCACCCUGUGUGUUCCUGAGUAAGUGACAUCACUUCUCUGAGCCCAUGUCUUCACUGGUGCAAUGGGGAGAAUAAGGACUGAACCAGCGUGAGGAUUGACUUGAGGAGCUAAUACCCUUUGAAGCAGUGUUAAGCUUCUGCUUAACACUCUGUGCAUUUGGAUCCCAGCUCUGUUGCUCCACGGGUCAGUGAUUGGGCAAUAACACACGGCGGCUUGGAAGAAAGACUACAUUUCCCAGCUUGCUUUGCAGCUAGGUGGAGCCAUGUGACUAAUGUGGCCAAUAGGAUGCGAGCAGAAGUGUAGGCGGUUUUCCCCUUGAUCACUUAAAAGAUAGUGGUGUGUCCGCCCCGUCCCUUUCCCCUUGCCAUUGGUGGAAGGUGCACGUGGUCCCAUCUUGAACAUGUGAAUGAGGGCAACACGAAAUGACUGCAGCUUAACAAGACAGAAGGAACUUGGGUCCGCUAUGCCAAGGAGCCCCAGCCAUUAAUGGUUGAUAUGUAAAUGACUAUAUGAGAGAUAAAUAAACUUCUCUCUCCUUUAA